RNAcentral lists this ribosomal RNA (423 nucleotides) under uncultured bacterium. Its description in RNAcentral is "bacterial SSU rRNA". It matches the Rfam family "Bacterial small subunit ribosomal RNA", at positions 355 to 775 of the family's 1533-position model. The record is from RNAcentral.
UGAGGAAUAUUGGUCAAUGGGCGGAAGCCUGAACCAGCCAUCCCGCGUGAAGGAAGAAGGCCUUAUGGGUUGGAAACUUCUUUUCAGUUUGAAGAAUAAGCUUGUCGUGACAAGUGAUGCCGGUAGGACAGGAAUACGCAUCGGCUAACUCCGUGCCAGCAGCCGCGGUAAUACGGAGGAUGCAAGCGUUAUCCGGAUUUAUUGGGUUUAAAGGGUGCGCAGGUGGUUUAAUAAGUCAGUGGUGAAAGUCUGCCGCUUAACGGUAGGAUUGCCAUUGAUACUGUUGGACUUGAAUAUGGAUGAGGUAGGCGGAAUGUGUAGUGUAGCGGUGAAAUGCUUAGAUAUUACACAGAACACCGAUUGCGAAGGCAGCUUACUAAUCCAUGAUUGACGCUGAGGCACGAGAGCGUGGGGAUCAAACAG